This 83-nucleotide transfer RNA is filed under the name Schistocephalus solidus. It matches the Rfam family "tRNA". Rfam says of the family: Transfer RNA (tRNA) molecules are approximately 80 nucleotides in length. The record is from Rfam by way of RNAcentral. Lineage: Eukaryota; Metazoa; Platyhelminthes; Cestoda; Diphyllobothriidea; Diphyllobothriidae.
GGCCUCGUAGAUCAGUUGGCUAGAGCAUUGGCUGUACUAAAGCCUUCCGUUUGCUGUCGUGGGUUCGAAUCCCGCCGAGGCCA